GGGUUGUGAGGUUAAGCGACUAAGCGUACACGGUGGAUGCCCUGGCAGUCAGAGGCGAUGAAGGGCGUGCUAAUCUGCGAUAAGCGCCGGUAAGGUGAUAUGAACCGUUAUAACCGGCGAUACCCGAAUGGGGAAACCCAGUGUGAUUCGUCACACUAUCAUUAACUGAAUCCAUAGGUUAAUGAGGCGAACCGGGGGAACUGAAACAUCUAAGUACCCCGAGGAAAAGAAAUCAACCGAGAUUCCCCCAGUAGCGGCGAGCGAACGGGGAGGAGCCCAGAGCCUGAAUCAGCAUGUGUGUUAGUGGAAGCGUCUGGAAAGGCGCGCGAUACAGGGUGACAGCCCCGUACACAAAAGCGCAUGUGCUGUGAGCUCGAUGAGUAGGGCGGGACACGUGGUAUCCUGUCUGAAUAUGGGGGGACCAUCCUCCAAGGCUAAAUACUCCUGACUGACCGAUAGUGAACCAGUACCGUGAGGGAAAGGCGAAAAGAACCCCGGCGAGGGGAGUGAAAAAGAACCUGAAACCGUGUACGUACAAGCAGUGGGAGCACAGGUUUACCUGUGUGACUGCGUACCUUUUGUAUAAUGGGUCAGCGACUUAUAUUCUGUAGCAAGGUUAACCGAAUAGGGGAGCCGGAGGGAAACCGAGUCUUAAUUGGGCGUUAAGUUGCAGGGUAUAGACCCGAAACCCGGUGAUCUAGCCAUGGGCAGGUUGAAGGUUGGGUAACACUAACUGGAGGACCGAACCGACUAAUGUUGAAAAAUUAGCGGAUGACCUGUGGCUGGGGGUGAAAGGCCAAUCAAACCGGGAGAUAGCUGGUUCUCCCCGAAAGCUAUUUAGGUAGCGCCUCGUGAAUUCAUCUCCGGGGGUAGAGCACUGUUUCGGCUAGGGGGCCAUCCCGGCUUACCAACCCGAUGCAAACUGCGAAUACCGGAGAAUGUUAUCACGGGAGACACACGGCGGGUGCUAACGUCCGUCGUGAAGAGGGAAACAACCCAGACCGCCAGCUAAGGUCCCAAAGUCAUGGUUAAGUGGGAAACGAUGUGGGAAGGCCCAGACAGCCAGGAUGUUGGCUUAGAAGCAGCCAUCAUUUAAAGAAAGCGUAAUAGCUCACUGGUCGAGUCGGCCUGCGCGGAAGAUGUAACGGGGCUAAACCAUGCACCGAAGCUGCGGCAGCGNNUGCUGGAGGUAUCAGAAGUGCGAAUGCUGACAUAAGUAACGAUAAAGCGGGUGAAAAGCCCGCUCGCCGGAAGACCAAGGGUUCCUGUCCAACGUUAAUCGGGGCAGGGUGAGUCGACCCCUAAGGCGAGGCCGAAAGGCGUAGUCGAUGGGAAACGGGUUAAUAUUCCCGUACUUGGUGUUACUGCGAAGGGGGGACGGAGAAGGCUAUGUUGGCCGGGCGACGGUUGUCCCGGUUUAAGCGUGUAGGUGUGUGUUCCAGGUAAAUCCGGUUCACUUUAACACUGAGGCGUGAUGACGAGGCACUACGGUGCUGAAGUAACAAAUGCCCUGCUUCCAGGAAAAGCCUCUAAGCAUCAGGUAACAUCAAAUCGUACCCCAAACCGACACAGGUGGUCAGGUAGAGAAUACCAAGGCGCUUGAGAGAACUCGGGUGAAGGAACUAGGCAAAAUGGUGCCGUAACUUCGGGAGAAGGCACGCUGACACGUAGGUGAAGUGAUUUACUCAUGGAGCUGAAGUCAGUCGAAGAUACCAGCUGGCUGCAACUGUUUAUUAAAAACACAGCACUGUGCAAACACGAAAGUGGACGUAUACGGUGUGACGCCUGCCCGGUGCCGGAAGGUUAAUUGAUGGGGUCAGCGCAAGCGAAGCUCCUGAUCGAAGCCCCGGUAAACGGCGGCCGUAACUAUAACGGUCCUAAGGUAGCGAAAUUCCUUGUCGGGUAAGUUCCGACCUGCACGAAUGGCGUAAUGAUGGCCAGGCUGUCUCCACCCGAGACUCAGUGAAAUUGAACUCGCUGUGAAGAUGCAGUGUACCCGCGGCAAGACGGAAAGACCCCGUGAACCUUUACUAUAGCUUGACACUGAACAUUGAGCCUUGAUGUGUAGGAUAGGUGGGAGGCUUUGAAGUGUGGACGCCAGUCUGCAUGGAGCCGACCUUGAAAUACCACCCUUUAAUGUUUGAUGUUCUAACGUGGACCCGUGAUCCGGGUUGCGGACAGUGUCUGGUGGGUAGUUUGACUGGGGCGGUCUCCUCCUAAAGAGUAACGGAGGAGCACGAAGGUUGGCUAAUCCUGGUCGGACAUCAGGAGGUUAGUGCAAUGGCAUAAGCCAGCUUGACUGCGAGCGUGACGGCGCGAGCAGGUGCGAAAGCAGGUCAUAGUGAUCCGGUGGUUCUGAAUGGAAGGGCCAUCGCUCAACGGAUAAAAGGUACUCCGGGGAUAACAGGCUGAUACCGCCCAAGAGUUCAUAUCGACGGCGGUGUUUGGCACCUCGAUGUCGGCUCAUCACAUCCUGGGGCUGAAGUAGGUCCCAAGGGUAUGGCUGUUCGCCAUUUAAAGUGGUACGCGAGCUGGGUUUAGAACGUCGUGAGACAGUUCGGUCCCUAUCUGCCGUGGGCGCUGGAGAACUGAGGGGGGCUGCUCCUAGUACGAGAGGACCGGAGUGGACGCAUCACUGGUGUUCGGGUUGUCAUGCCAAUGGCACUGCCCGGUAGCUAAAUGCGGAAGAGAUAAGUGCUGAAAGCAUCUAAGCACGAAACUUGCCCCGAGAUGAGUUCUCCCUGAGACUU
RNAcentral lists this ribosomal RNA (2750 nucleotides) under Salmonella enterica subsp. enterica serovar Dublin. RNAcentral's name for it is "bacterial LSU rRNA". It matches the Rfam family "Bacterial large subunit ribosomal RNA". The record is from RNAcentral. Lineage: Bacteria; Pseudomonadati; Pseudomonadota; Gammaproteobacteria; Enterobacterales; Enterobacteriaceae.